This 253-nucleotide ribosomal RNA is filed under the name uncultured bacterium. Its description in RNAcentral is "partial 16S ribosomal RNA". It matches the Rfam family "Bacterial small subunit ribosomal RNA", at positions 524 to 776 of the family's 1533-position model. The record is from RNAcentral.
UACGUAGGGUGCAAGCGUUAAUCGGAAUUACUGGGCGUAAAGCGUACGCAGGCGGCUUUGCAAGACAGGUGUGAAAUCCCCGGGCUUAACCUGGGAACUGCAGUCGAGACUGUCUAGCUAGAGUAUGGGAGAGGGAAGUGGAAUUUCAGGUGUAGCGGUGAAAUGCGUAGAUAUCUGAAGGAACAUCAGUGGCGAAAGCGACUUCCUGGACCAAUACUGACGCUCAUGUGCGAAAGCGUGGGGAGCAAACAGG